Molecule: transfer RNA, 67 nt
Filed under: Telchinia lycoa
Lineage: Eukaryota; Metazoa; Arthropoda; Insecta; Lepidoptera; Nymphalidae
Description: Acraea lycoa tRNA-Ser
Source: RNAcentral
AAUUAAUGAGCUUGCUAGAAGCAUUUGUUUUGAAAGCUUAAGAAAGAAUAUAUUAUUCUAUUAAUUU